Molecule: ribosomal RNA, 868 nt
Filed under: uncultured Gammaproteobacteria bacterium
Lineage: Bacteria; Pseudomonadati; Pseudomonadota; Gammaproteobacteria
Description: bacterial SSU rRNA
Rfam family: Bacterial small subunit ribosomal RNA
Source: RNAcentral
GUGCAAGCGUUAAUCGGAAUUACUGGGCGUAAAGGGUACGUAGGCGGUUAAAUAAGUUGGAUGUGAAAGCCCCGGGCUCAACCUGGGAACUGCAUUCAAAACUGUUUGACUAGAGUGUAUGAGAGGUUAGCGGAAUUCCAGGUGUAGCAGUGAAAUGCGUAGAUAUCUGGAGGAACAUCAGUGGCGAAGGCGGCUAACUGGCAUAACACUGACGCUGAGGUACGAAAGCGUGGGGAGCGAACGGGAUUAGAUACCCCGGUAGUCCACGCCCUAAACGAUGAGAACUAGCUGUUGGUUGCGUAAAUGCAGUCAGUAGCGAAGCUAACGCGUUAAGUUCUCCGCCUGGGGAGUACGACCGCAAGGUUGAAACUCAAAGGAAUUGACGGGGGCCCGCACAAGCGGUGGAGCAUGUGGUUUAAUUCGAUGCAACGCGAAGAACCUUACCAUCCCUUGACAUCCUCAGAAUUUGUCGUAAUGACUUAGUGCCUUCGGGAACUGAGUGACAGGUGCUGCACGGCUGUCGUCAGCUCGUGUCGUGAGAUGUUGGGUUAAGUCCCGCAACGAGCGCAACCCCUAUCUUUAGUUGCCAGCACGUAAUGGUGGGAACUCUAGAGAGACUGCCGGUGAUAAGCCGGAGGAAGGUGGGGACGACGUCAAGUCAUCAUGGCCCUUACGGGAUGGGCUACACACGUGCUACAAUGGUGCAUACAGAGGGUUGCCAACCCGCGAGGGGGAGCUAAUCCCAGAAAGUGCAUCUUAGUCCGGAUCGCAGUCUGCAACUCGACUGCGUGAAGUUGGAAUCGCUAGUAAUCGCGAAUCAGCAACGUCGCGGUGAAUACGUUCCCGGGCCUUGUACACACCGCCCGUC